AUAAGCUACGAAGAGCGAAUGGUGGAUGCCUUGGGUAAUAGAGGCGAUGAAGGACGCACUAGACUGCGAUAAGCUACGGGGAGCUGUCAAGAAGUUUUGAGCCGUAGAUUUCCGAAUGGGGCAACCCAGCGUGUAGAGAUACACGCUACCAUAAUGGAGCGAACGAGGGGAAUUGAAACAUCUUAGUACCCUCAGGAAAAGAAAUCAAAAGAGAUUGCGCUAGUAGCGGCGAGCGAAAGCGCAAGAGGGCAAACCUAGUGCUUGCACUAGGGGUUGUAGGACUGCAUCGUGCAAUAAAUGAGGUUAGCAGAAUGUUCUGGAAAGGACAAUCCAAGAGGGUGAUAAUCCCGUAUGCGAAAACCGAAUUUUAGCUAGCAGUAUCCUGAGUAGGGCGGAACACGAGAAAUUUUGUCUGAAGCUGGGGAGACCACUCUCCAACCCUAAAUACUACUAUUACACCGAUAGUGCACAAGUACCGUGAGGGAAAGGUGAAAAGAACGGCGGUGAGCCGAGUGAAAUAGAACCUGAAACCAUUUGCUUACAAUCAUUCAGAGCACCAUAGCGCAAGCUGGUGUGAUGGACUGCCUUUUGCAUAAUGAGCCUGCGAGUUGUGGUGUCUGGCAAGGUUAAGGAAACCCGAAGCCGUAGCGAAAGCAAGUCUGAAUAGGGCGAUUAAGUCAGAUGCUGCAGACCCGAAACGAAGUGAUCUAUCCACGAGCAGGUUGAAGCUAGUGUAAGAGCUAGUGGAGGACCGAACCAAUAGGCGUUGAAAAGCCCCUGGAUGACUUGUGGAUAGGGGUGAAAGGCCAAUCAAACUUCGUGAUAGCUGGUUCUCUCCGAAAUAUAUUUAGGUAUAGCGUUGUGAAGUAAUUAAAGGGGGUAGAGCACUGAAUGGGCUAGGGCAUACACCAAUGUACCAAACCCUAUCAAACUCCGAAUACUUAGUAUGUAAUCACAGCAGUCAGGCGGCGAGUGAUAAAAUCCGUCGUCAAGAGGGGAACAACCCAGACUAACAGCUAAGGUCCCAAAAUCUCAUUUAAGUGGAAAACGAUGUGAAGUUACUUAAACAACCAGGAGGUUGGCUUAGAAGCAGCCAUCCUUUAAAGAAAGCGUAAUAGCUCACUGGUCUAGUGAUUUUGCGCGGAAAAUAUAACGGGGCUAAAAUGAGUACCGAAGCUGUAGGCUUGGCUUUGCCAAGCGGUAGGAGAGCGUUCUAUUUGCGUUGAAGCUAUAUCGGCAAGAAGUGGUGGAGCGAAUAGAAGUGAGCAUGCAGGCAUGAGUAGCGAUAAAAGGGGUGAGAAUCCCCUUCGCCGUAAACCCAAGGUUUCCUACGCGAUGCUCGUCAUCGUAGGGUUAGUCGGGUCCUAAGCAAAGUCCGAAAGGGGUAUGCGAUGGAAAAUAGGUUAAUAUUCCUAUACCAACAUUGAUGUGCGAUGGAAGGACGCUUAGAGCUAGGGGGGCUAGCGGAUGGUAGUGCUAGUCUAAGGUUGUAGGUGCUUACACAGGCAAAUCCGUGUAAGAACACACCGAGAGCUGAAAGGCUUUUUGAAGUCUUCGGAUGGAUAGAAGAACCCCUGAUGCUGUCGAGCCAAGAAAAGUUUCUAAGUUUAGUCAAUGUUGCCCGUACCGUAAACCGACACAGGUGGGUGGGAUGAGUAUUCUAAGGCGCGUGGAAGAACUCUCUUUAAGGAACUCUGCAAAAUAGCACCGUAUCUUCGGUAUAAGGUGUGCCUAACUUUGUUAGUGGAUUUACUCCACAAAGCAUUGAAGGUUACAACAAAGAGUCCCUCCCGACUGUUUACCAUAAACACAGCACUCUGCUAACUCGUAAGAGGAUGUAUAGGGUGUGACGCCUGCCCGGUGCUCGAAGGUUAAUUGAUGGGGUUAGCAUUAGCGAAGCUCUUGAUCGAAGCCCGAGUAAACGGCGGCCGUAACUAUAACGGUCCUAAGGUAGCGAAAUUCCUUGUCGGUUAAAUACCGACCUGCAUGAAUGGCGUAACGAGAUGGGAGCUGUCUCAAAGAGGGAUCCAGUGAAAUUGUAGUGGAGGUGAAAAUUCCUCCUACCCGCGGCAAGACGGAGAGACCCCGUGGACCUUUACUAUAGCUUGACACUGCUACUUGGAUAAGAAUGUGCAGGAUAGGUGGGAGGCUUUGAGGCUAGGACGCCAGUUCUAGUGGAGCCAUUGUUGAGAUACCACUCUUUCUUAUUUGGGUAGCUAACUAGCUUGCGUUAUCCGCAAGUAGGACAAUGUCUGGUGGGUAGUUUGACUGGGGCGGUCGCCUCCCAAAAUGUAACGGAGGCUUACAAAGGUUGGCUCAUUGCGGUUGGAAAUCGCAAGUUGUGUAUAAAGGCAUAAGCCAGCUUAACUGCGAGGCAUACAGGCCAAGCAGGGACGAAAGUCGGUCUUAGUGAUCCGGUGGUUCUGUGUGGAAGGGCCAUCGCUCAAAGGAUAAAAGGUACCCCGGGGAUAACAGGCUGAUCUCCCCCAAGAGCUCACAUCGACGGGGAGGUUUGGCACCUCGAUGUCGGCUCAUCGCAUCCUGGGGCUGGAGCAGGUCCCAAGGGUAUGGCUGUUCGCCAUUUAAAGCGGUACGCGAGCUGGGUUCAGAACGUCGUGAGACAGUUCGGUCCCUAUCUGCCGUGGGCG
This 2648-nucleotide ribosomal RNA is filed under the name human gut metagenome. Its description in RNAcentral is "bacterial LSU rRNA". It matches the Rfam family "Bacterial large subunit ribosomal RNA". The record is from RNAcentral.